RNAcentral lists this transfer RNA (97 nucleotides) under Candidatus Aenigmatarchaeota archaeon. RNAcentral's name for it is "tRNA-Leu". It matches the Rfam family "tRNA". Rfam says of the family: Transfer RNA (tRNA) molecules are approximately 80 nucleotides in length. Their secondary structure includes four short double-helical elements and three loops (D, anti-codon, and T loops). Lineage: Archaea; Nanobdellati; Candidatus Aenigmatarchaeota. The record is from RNAcentral.
GCGGGGGUACCCAAGUGGUCAAUGGCUUCGGCCAAAGGGGCUAGGUUUAGGGCCUAGUAGCUUAGUGCUUUCCUGGGUUCGAAUCCCAGCCCCCGCA